CGUCCUUUUAUUUUUUUUUUUUUCUUCCUUCCUCCCCCUCCUCUUCUUCCUCCUCCUCUUCCUCCUCCCUCAGGGCUUCUGCGUGGAGGCUGGGGGCCACCUUCUCUCGGCCACUGUCAGAAGGGGAAUCGCAUUAAAUGGAAAUGGAGAAUAAACAAAAGCUCAGACCUGAUUAAUGUCACCCCUGUGCCCAUCCUGGGUGGCUACGUGCAGAUUUUCUCGGUCAGGCUCUGAGCAGAGGAGCGUGGGACAGCACCAAGCACAGGAAGACAAAAGCUGCUGAUGGGAAACGUACCUCACCAUAUCCCUCUACCUCCCCAGCCCCCAAAGAAAAACAAACCCACAAGAACAUCGGGCUACAGUUCUGUUGGUCAAUGGCCAUCUGCCACGUUCAGAGCAGGAGGGAUAUUUUCUUCAUCCAGGGGCUUCACCCUCCUUGCUCUGCCAUCUUCCAGCAGUGUUCCCAGACCAAGCGUCCUACCUACAGCCUUGAAGAAGUUUCUGAGAAGGACACACCUCAGGCAGCUGCCUCUGCUGCAGGAGAUGGGAGCAGCCCAGAAGGUUUGAGGAGCCCCGAAUCUGGAUCCACUUUCCUGCCCAAUUUUUUGCUGCCUGCAGCAUGGCAUAACAGCUGGAAAGCUGCUCGUUACAAACAUGUGGCUGGAGCAAAGUUCCUGGAUAAUGCUAUUGCCUGAGAAGCUCGAUUUUCCCUACAGGAGCUGUAUCUUCAUCACAGCCGCUUCUUCUAUCACAGAGCUCCCAUGGGACAUCUCUCAGGAAAACAAGGCAAACUGCGGCAACGAUGGAGUGAUGGGAACAGAGGGAUGGGAAUCAAGGAUGGUUGGAGGGAGAAGAAAAAAGAGGAGAGAACACGACAGGAGAAGGAAGAUGGAGCGUGCAGUGAGCAGAGCAGAUUUCCUUGCCUCUAGGUUUGUUUUCCCUUGCCAGGGGGACAAAACAACCAGAAGGUUGGAAAGUGUCCUGGAAAAGGUCUCCACAGAAGCAAGCCAAAUGCAUUUAGAGUGGAUAAACACCAGAAGACAGGAGAGCAUGACGACUGAGGUGAACUCAUCACGGAGAGCAGUUCAGAGUUGCUUGGUGAUUCAAGACGUGCCAUUUUAAGAAGUCAGGCUUCCAGAUCACUGCCCGGAAGACAGGUCUGGACCUCUAAAAACAGCUUUUCCUUUCAACGAAAGCAGCCGGGCGAGCUCCGAGACGAGCACAGACACCCUGUCACACUUGCACAGAGCUGCGAAAACAGUCUGCUUCCCCUUGCCGGGUUGGGAGUGAGGAGUGUUUCUGUCUGGCCCUGAACGCUGUGUGUAAGGCUGGGCUGGGCUCUUGGCAGCGUGACCUUCCAUGGAGCCGUGGGUCUCAUCUCACUUCGAAGCAGAAGGCUCCGGCGAGCAUGAGGAACUCAUCCAUCCUUCCCCACGCUGGCAGAUGGAGCAGAAAACCUGCUGAUAUAUUCAAGGUCCUAAUAAGUUUUGAGGCGGCCAGUGGAUAUUAAUAUGGAACAGGAGCGCACCGUCCCCGCUGACCAGCUUUUAUCACCCCAGACACAUCUGCUGAUGCAGAGCUAUUUGUUUUGCAAGAGAUGCUCCCUGGGCAGGGAUCAGGGAGCUGGAGCUAAUGCAGGCUGAUGGGCUUCAUUUAGGGGAUGAGGAGGAGGAGUGGAAGAGGAGGGUCGCGGGAUUGACCAAAAUUUGUCUGUCCGCAGGAGGAAAAUGAGGGAUGUGGUCUUCCCCAUCUCCUUGAUCCUGGAGGCCGUGUCUGUCUUCACAUUUGGGUUUUGCUGCCAGCUAGGAAGGGCUGGCAGAGGGCAGAGCUAAGGAUGGGUUCUUUUGAUUAUAUCAGCCACUGUGCAUUGCAGAGCGUGAUGGUGAAGCUCAUGCUUGCUUUCCUAAGUGUAAUUGCCCUGGAGAGACAAUGCAGACCAUCGUCUUCCAGUUCCCCAUCGCAGCCCAUCAUAAACUGGGUUUCCCCUCAUUCCCAAGCAAAUCCAGAGUGCAAAAAAUCCCUUUUCUUGCCCUAAACUGGCAAAACCCUUUCUCCCUUGCAAACAGCUGCAUUUCCAGCAGCACACUGGAGGCAUUUGGCGGGCUCCUGAUUUACACAGACCCGGCCGAGGGAUUGUUCUGAAAUGGAUUUGUUAGUAUUAAUUACGCCGCGUCCCUGCUGAGAUUUUUAACAAGAUUAUGCUUCCUGAGCGUCGCUGCUUCGCUUCUCCUCCUACUCCUUCCUUUCCAUUUCAAAGCAUGGUGCGUGCAGCAGGAUUUGUUAUUUUGUUCCCUCAGUAGACGCUGGUGAAGGGGGAGCGAGCCGGAGCUUCUGGGGUCCAGCACCUUGACUUGGGGAUGGUUGAUGGGGAAAAACAACCCCGCGGCUGCAACCGUAGGAAAGCUCAGCCCUUCCACGGGAAUGCUUGCACUCCUGCAGAAAUGGCUUUCCACUGCCUCCGGUUUCUCUGGGAGGAUGGGAACCCACUGGAGAUGGACCAUUUCCAGUUUUUUUCCAGCCCUAAUGGAUGGAGCAUCCCUCCUGGAGCUGCCCCAUGGAAAGAAAGGCAUCCUGCGGGAUAAGAGGUGAAGAGGAAACUCUGGAUCCAUGAGCUAUCUCCUCCAUCCUUUGAAAACCCAUCAGUUUCCCCUUCUUUUAAUGCUCUGGCUGCUUCAGUGCCAGCCAGUAAGACCCAGCAAUAUGUCAUAUAUUUAUGCCAGAUGGCACCAUUGCCACCGUUCCCCACCACGGCCCUCAGACUCAGGGUUCCCAAAGAGACAUUCCCACUUGGAGCUCACCCUGUCCCCCAUCUAGGGAACUCCACCAGGUCCCAAAGCUAGGGGACAUCCUCCUGCCUUCCCCUGGUUCAGUGAGCUCUGUAUCUGGUGUUUAGAUAUUUAGGGAGUGAAAUACAGAUUGAGAAUGAGGUGCAGCAUCCUGGGGACCCGCCAUAUUCCCAUCUUCUCCUUCACCCUGUCCCAGUGGUUGGCCAAGAGGACAGCCCUGCUCCAGCCCAAAAUGGAGCCCCACGCCCCAUUCCAUCCUCCUCCUCUCCUUGAGCCACAGAAGCCUGCAGAUUUGUAGGAAGAGGAGUUUGCUUUGAACAAAACAAAGCUGGAUUUGUGCUUACAUCAGAAAUUCCCCGACCUCAUAGGGUAUUUUUUUCUCUGUAGGAUUAGCGAGGUUAGUCAAUGAGCGUGAUCCGAUUUGGGGUUGAUGCUAUUCUCGGCUGGGUUUAGAUGCCGUGGCACGGGCAGAUUCACAGUGCGAGUCGGCUUUUGUGGGAUAAACGGGAGCAUAUUGGUAAUCAGCCUUGUACCAGCUGGGAGCCAACCUAAAUGGCUUACAGGGACGGGCGUUGUGCUCACCAGGUCUCCUCAUGGGGUGCCACUGAGGGCCGGGCUGCUCUGGGGGGUCCCCCUGCAUGGGAUGGAGAGAAUCAAAUUUGCACUUCUAGAGGUGUGGAAAGUGGGAUCUGAGUGUCUCUCAUGCUGGAUGAAAAAGGUGUUUGCACCUCGGUGCCCAGACCCAGGCCACGCACGGUGUUCUAUUCUUCCCCAGCAUCACCGCAUCUGGAGCUGCCCCUCACUUCAUCCUAGCAACCAAACAAGCUGAACGAUGCGAGGUUCCCCCCUCCCUCCCCACGCCCAGAGCGCAUUUCUCUUUUUCCCCAGACAGUUUGUGUCGCGUUUUUCAAUUGCUCUUAAUGGAGAUGUCCAUCACGGGGCACAUUAACCCAGAUAUGAUUCCAAGCAUAGAGAUGCACUAAUGACCAUUUAACCCACGUACGUAGCCCGGCUGGCUGAAGACUAUUUUUCUUUCCUUCCUCCAUUUUUCCUUCUCUUUUAACCCUGGGGAGGCCUGGGCCAGACGGAGAAUAACUGUUUAUUUUGAGCAGGGCACAAAGACCUCUUUUAGGAGUAAGUGCUGCGGUCCUACUGCUGCAUUAUGGAGCAUAAAGCACAGUAAUACUCAACCAAUUACGCUAAUGCUGCUUAUUUGCUCUUGUUACAGAGCGUAAUUGCUCACCCAGAAGCUAUUAAAUUAGAUAAGAGCAGAACAAACAAAACUAUUCAUUUUAUUCACUAUAUAUUUAUACACCUACCACUCCGGAGCAAGCAGCCACCACGCUCAGUGGCGCGGAUUCCUCCUGCGAAUGAGACGGAGGUGACAUAUUGCAGAAAGAAAUGGAGGUUGGGGAACCCCACUGAAUCCCCAUGGUGACCCCAAAGAUUCUGUCACCACUGGCUUUGGCCCUUCCCUAGGGUGAGCACUGGGGGGAUACUGGGAGGACUGGGAAGCCCCCAGUUGCCAGCUGGGAGGAGGGCUGGAAACCACUGAGUCUUGCAUUAAAACUGAGGGGAAAGUCCUUUCUAAGUGAAA
Numida meleagris (helmeted guineafowl) is the source of this 4383-nucleotide long non-coding RNA. RefSeq lists it as uncharacterized. Lineage: Eukaryota; Metazoa; Chordata; Aves; Galliformes; Numididae. The record is from RefSeq and is a predicted model, not a curated record. The transcript has 8 exons.